UUGCAGCUUCCAGCUGUAGCGGAGUUCUCCACCAGCGAGACAAUGGGCCACUCUGCUGACAGGCUGGCUGCCGCCUUUGGAGUUUCACGCUGGG
This 94-nucleotide microRNA precursor is filed under the name Lepisosteus oculatus (spotted gar). RNAcentral describes it as "miRNA (ENSLOCG00000019620.1)". Lineage: Eukaryota; Metazoa; Chordata; Actinopteri; Semionotiformes; Lepisosteidae. The record is from RNAcentral.